GGAGAAGGCAUUCCAUGCGGCCUCCAUCUUGCCUGAGAGCGUUUCUCUUCCGCGCCCUGCGUGUGAGCCCCUGUAGAUCUCUCAAGAUCCCGCGAGAUCAGGCUUCUUCUGCCCAGUGUAGUAGUAGCCGCAGUGCCUAGAACUUGAUUCUGCCUUUCUCUGAGCCUUCGCCGAGGCUCGGUGCGCGAUCCAGGCCCUCUGCUCUCACGACCAGCAUUUUCAAGUCAAGUCAAUUUGAAGUGUACUAUUUCCUUCCAGCAAACACAUGGGAGGGCCUGUCAGCUUGUGCCCUCAAGUGAUUCGGGUCGUGCUGGACAGACCCUAACGUGGCCUUCAGUCUUUUUCCCCCAAAUUCAUCUUUUUAAAGAUGUUUGCAAAGUGCACAACCUUGGAAGAUACAGUGUCCCCCUUCAGAGGCAAAGGCAAAUGUACUUACCCUCCAGUAUGAUGAAAAUGACAUCCUCCUUCAGAAAAAAGGAAAAAUUAGGGAGGUUAUGUCAUCCAUGGAAGGAAGAAUAUGUGACGUAGGAGCACAAUCACUUCUCCAGGACCAGUGGAGAAAAAUAUACAAGUAGGUGGAGGUAAUAUGUUGUGUGACUAGAUGUCUUCACUCUGAAGCAUUGAUGAAUAAAUUUGCAUUUCUCAAUCUCAGUAUAUAGGAAGUUAUUCCAUUAAAAAUAUCCCAACAAUUGUUGGUCAUUCAUUUCUGGGUCAUGUGUAUAUUAUAACUUCCAAGUAGUAUAAUUAUAUGAUUCCACAGUU
Molecule: long non-coding RNA, 762 nt
Organism: Mustela erminea (ermine)
Lineage: Eukaryota; Metazoa; Chordata; Mammalia; Carnivora; Mustelidae
Exons: 3
Source: RefSeq, a predicted model, not a curated record